RNAcentral lists this transfer RNA (67 nucleotides) under Encarsia obtusiclava. RNAcentral describes it as "tRNA-Ile". Lineage: Eukaryota; Metazoa; Arthropoda; Insecta; Hymenoptera; Aphelinidae. The record is from RNAcentral.
AAUGAAAUGCCUGAUAAAAGGAUUAUUUUGAUAGAAUAAAUUAUGUAACUUUAAGUUAUUUUCAUUA